GGCCGACGGUGCGAGGAAUACAAUACCGCAAGGGAAUAACUCCGCCUGAUUAUGUGCAGGUUUUGAGCCGUCGGUCGCCCUAUU
The sequence is a small RNA, 84 nucleotides long. It matches the Rfam family "sRNA-Xcc1". The record is from Rfam.